UGCCUCUCAGGGUCUCCCCUGGGGAAUUUCCGGUAUUGUACCAGUCUUGACUAUGGGAGGGAGAGUCAAGCAGAGGCAUAUCCAUUCCAUUCCUAGCUUGGGCAGUGGCUAGCAAGUGGAAGACAAUCUGCUACAAGU
This is a small nucleolar RNA of Tachyglossus aculeatus (Australian echidna), 138 nucleotides long. NCBI's taxonomy places the organism in Eukaryota, Metazoa, Chordata, Mammalia, Monotremata, Tachyglossidae. The record is from RefSeq and is a predicted model, not a curated record.